UACGUAGGUGGCAAGCGUUGUCCGGAGUUACUGGGCGUAAAGAGCGCGCAGGCGGUCGUUCAAGUCGCGUGUGAAAGCCCCCGGCUCAACUGGGGAGGGUCACGCGAUACUGAUCGACUCGAAGGCAGGAGAGGGAAGUGGAAUUCCCGGUGUAGUGGUGAAAUGCGUAGAUAUCGGGAGGAACACCAGUGGCGAAGGCGACUUCCUGGCCUGUUCUUGACGCUGAGGCGCGAAAGCUAGGGGAGCAAACGGG
Molecule: ribosomal RNA, 253 nt
Filed under: uncultured bacterium
Lineage: Bacteria
Description: partial 16S ribosomal RNA
Rfam family: Bacterial small subunit ribosomal RNA
Source: RNAcentral